UGGUGGGGUGACUUGUCUACUUAAUUGCGAUAACGAACGAGACCUUAACCUGCUAAAUAGCCCGCAUUGCUCCGGCAGUGCGCUGGCUUCUUAGAGGGACUUUCGGCUCAAGCCGAAGGAAGUUUGAGGCAAUAACA
Molecule: ribosomal RNA, 137 nt
Filed under: uncultured eukaryote
Lineage: Eukaryota
Description: partial 18S ribosomal RNA
Rfam family: Eukaryotic small subunit ribosomal RNA
Source: RNAcentral